RNAcentral lists this ribosomal RNA (447 nucleotides) under Triticum aestivum (bread wheat). RNAcentral describes it as "partial small subunit ribosomal RNA". Lineage: Eukaryota; Viridiplantae; Streptophyta; Magnoliopsida; Poales; Poaceae. The record is from RNAcentral.
AUGGUGAGACCUAAAGGAAAAGGUGGAAUGGGGUUUAAAGACCUUCGGAUGUUCAAUCAAGCCCUCUUAGCAUGGCAAGCCUGACGUCUUAUUCAGUUUCCGGAAAGUCUCUGUGCACAGGUUCUGCGGGCCAAGUACUAUCCGGAUGGGUCCAUUCUUGACACUGUCUUUACCGGGAACGGAUCAUCAACGUGGAACGCCAUUGAGCAUGGUCUGCAGUUAGUGAAGCAGGGGUAUGUUUGGUGGGUGGGGAAUGGUACUGACAUAUGUAUCUGGCGCGACCCGUGGUUGCCGAGAGGGCCUCCCUUUAAGCCAAUCACGCAGAAACGACGGCGCCGACUGAAAUGGGUAGCUGACCUUCUGAAUUUUGAUGGAUCUUGGAACAUUUCACUCCUCAGACAACACUUCUAUCCGGCUGAUGUUAUAGAGAUUCUGAAAAUAAAAUAA